GUUUUUUCAAGACAUCUUAUGUGGGACAAUCAAUGAUGAGGUGUUUUGGGUUGUUGAUGCUUAUGUCAAACGCGAUCUCGACUGUUUGUGUAACAUCUUGGUUUCGAGAGGAAGGAAGGAUCUUAAGCAAAGGAUCAAGAAGGUGUGGUUAGAUCUGAGGCUAUAGCAAUCCAGAACAUCUAAAUGAGGUUUUCUCAGGAUCGCGGGAAAGCACCGACUUGAUUGUACACACCAGUGAAAGAGUUAUGCUUGAGGAUCCUGGAUUUUAAUUAAACAGUUAUGAGGUUAUGAUUUUGUAAAGUAAAUAAAUGAGGUAUUUUGUGAAACGUGUUAUGAGAACUACGAGAAUUUUAAUGAAAAAAAAUUGUUUGAAAAUUUACGGUGUUACAGCUUGUGUGACA
Non-coding RNA from Lactuca sativa (garden lettuce), 401 nucleotides. The record is from RefSeq and is a predicted model, not a curated record. Lineage: Eukaryota; Viridiplantae; Streptophyta; Magnoliopsida; Asterales; Asteraceae.